Cinara cedri is the source of this 287-nucleotide non-coding RNA. NCBI's taxonomy places the organism in Eukaryota, Metazoa, Arthropoda, Insecta, Hemiptera, Aphididae. The record is from the annotation of a GenBank genome assembly.
GAACAACGAUAUUGUACAUAAUAAUAUUUUAACAUUAAAUCGAAUGAUAUUUUUAACUUUAAAAUGCCCUAAGCAUUAUCGACAAAAUGCAAUACCAGCGGAUUCGUCACAGGAUUCGUCGAUCUCCUAGGCUGCUCACUUUUAUUAUAUGGCCAAAUAUGCAUUCUAUAGUAUAUAGUUCAGUGGGUCUAACCUAACCGACAUACAGCCAUUUGGGAAUGGGAACUGCAGCGUAUAUUAGUUCGUUUACUUUAGCCAAAAGUUUAUUAUCUUUAUUUCAUAGUAUU